This 1800-nucleotide long non-coding RNA is filed under the name Scleropages formosus (Asian bonytongue). Its description in RNAcentral is "lncRNA (ENSSFOG00015028240.1)". Lineage: Eukaryota; Metazoa; Chordata; Actinopteri; Osteoglossiformes; Osteoglossidae. The record is from RNAcentral.
AUGGAUCCAGCCCCUGUUUCUGUGGCGGUGAUCGGUUCAGCGUCCGCUGCCUCCGCCUUCUUCCUGGUGUUGUUUCUGUGGGUGUUGCUGCUGACAGCGGAGAGACUAAAUCGCAGAAUCAAACUUUCUCUGGGCUGGAGCGGGAUGAGUGUUGAAUCCCUGCGAUCGCUUCUCCCAGGUGCCACAUCUUCUGCUUCACCCUGUGGCACAACCACUGCAGAGGAGCAACAUGCACAGCAGACUGACAGCACGGACAAAACGCCAAGGUGCCCCGUGGUCGUAGAGAAAAAUGCUCACCCCCCUUCAAUCGUCAUCAAUGUCACAACAAACAUCAAGCCUGCCGGUCAAAGCAGGGGCGGAGACUGUGAGUGGGAGGAGCCUGAGGAGACCCAACCUUCCCUACAGGAGAUGGAGAUGAAGCUGCAGGAGAUCUGCGCCAUGGCUGCAGGUCAAACCCUGGAGGAGCUGGAUUACGACACGGUGCACGACCUCUCCCUGCUGCUGGACGCAGGGGGCCGCGGUGGAGCCGUGCAAAGGUUGGGUCACGCCUUGGGGGUCCCAGCUGAGGUCCUCAGCAACCUGCACGGCUUCCAGGAGCUCUUCCGCUACCUGCGCACCUCCACCUACACGCUCUUACCGCAGCUGGCCCAGGCGGUCGCCACGCUGCACCGCCCCGAUGUGGUGGCCAGGAUGCAUCGGAGCCUGUUGACGCGGCGCUCAGGGGCCAGUGGCACUCGGGCCCGGGAAUCAGGGCUGCACUGAUCCACGGGAACGGCCUGGUGCGGCUACGCAGCUCUCUGACACCCAUCCUGCCGUAAGAAAUCAGGGGCAAAACUGUGGCGAGUGCCACCAAGAAAGAAACACCACGGUGUGUUCAGGGAGAUCCUUUUACACACCCCUUUGUCCGAACAGUCCCGAUGCAAUUCCUUCACCCUGGAUUUAAGCAUUAUGUCAGGAAGAAAAUACAUAGGGGUAGCGCAGGGGUAUCUGAUGUGAGUUGUGGGUUCGUGUCCGAGCUGCGUCCGCUCCGGUGGGGGGCGUGUCUCCGUGCCCCCUAGAUUACCACAUGACUUAGUGUCUUAGCUGUGAUUUUAUAUCUCACCGGGACAGCUUGUUUGCUGAAGUGUGCCAGAGCAGUGGCCCUUAAUGGUCACCGAAUGUUAUAAGUGGAAGCCGAUUGUUUGAUUCUUGUUUCCAAAGCGAUAGACAGCAUGCCGAGGUGCACUAUGUCUCCUCAAACCCUUGUAUCAGUGAGCCCCCCCGCUGCUGAACCCUUUCUGAGUGUUAAAUAACACUGUGACCCCUGCAUUAUUCAGCCCAGUGUAACUGAGCCCAGAACAAGGUGAGCACUAAUGUGUCGGCCAUUAAAAAUGAACGAGGAGGCUCGAGUUGGGGGGGUGUGAAGGGGCGAUAUGGGCUGGCAACGAAAACACGGAGGCGUGCGAUGAGGUGGAGAGCUCAGUUCUUAUUGGAAGUGGCGCUAAGGGGUCUUAACUGCUGCAAUGCAGUCUCUCCUUGCUAACCCCCCCCAACACCCAGGCUUGCUCGCCCCUGUAAAUAUGUACGGUAAACGGUAACAAUGAACGCGGUCCCCAUCUGUCUCAGAGCAAGCAGACAUGUUCACAUCUUUGACAACAGCAUCGCUAGUCGUUCAGUUCCCCAAAUGCAAUGCUCUCUCUUUUACUGCUAUUACUGUUAUUUUUGUUGCUAUUAUUUAGCCAGCAUCUUAUUGCAUGAUGAUGGAAGAAAGAACAUGGGGGAGAAAAUAAAAAUUUGUAUGGUGACUUGGGUGGGGGAGGG